GAUGAACGCUGGCGGCGUGCCUAAUACAUGCAAGUCGAGCGAACGGACGAGAAGCUUGCUUCUCUGCUGUUAGCGGCGGACGGGUGAGUAACACGUGGAUAACCUACCUAUAAGACUGGGAUAACUUAGGGAAACCGGAGCUAAUACCGGAUAAUAUUUUGAACCGCAUGGUUCAAAAGUGAAAGACGGUCUUGCUGUCACUUAUAGAUGGAUCCGCGCUGCAUUAGCUAGUUGGUAAGGUAACGGCUUACCAAGGCAACGAUGCAUAGCCGACCUGAGAGGGUGAUCGGCCACACUGGAACUGAGACACGGUCCAGACUCCUACGGGAGGCAGCAGUAGGGAAUCUUCCACAAUGGGCGAAAGCCUGACGGAGCAACGCCGCGUGAGUGAUGAAGGUCUUCGGAUCGUAAAACUCUGUUAUUAGGGAAGAACAUAUGUGUAAGUAACUGUGCACAUCUUGACGGUACCUAAUCAGAAAGCCACGGCUAACUACGUG
Molecule: ribosomal RNA, 497 nt
Filed under: uncultured bacterium
Lineage: Bacteria
Description: partial 16S ribosomal RNA
Rfam family: Bacterial small subunit ribosomal RNA
Source: RNAcentral